RNAcentral lists this long non-coding RNA (639 nucleotides) under Equus caballus (horse). Its description in RNAcentral is "lncRNA (ENSECAG00000044485.1)". The record is from RNAcentral. Lineage: Eukaryota; Metazoa; Chordata; Mammalia; Perissodactyla; Equidae.
AAAGGAUUCAGUCCCAGGAAUCAUCUUGGCUCUGGCUUUAGCUUGGGUUUGACCCAGGGUCUUCUAAAGAACAGCUCAGCAGAAUAAAAGGAUAAGCAAUUUAGAAUGUGUAAAUGAUGCCAAUUUUUUGGCGAGGCAGGGGAGAUGGAUCACAAGGCUGGCCUCUGCAGUUGCGAAAUCUCAAAGUUCUCGAGAACUUAUUCUUAAAUUUCUGCGCGUGCCUCAACCCACGCAGGGAAGCCGCUUCUCUCUUUAUAAGGAUGAGAAAUGAACUAGAGUUGGAGGCGGAAUUCACAGAAGCAGGAGGCCUCCUGUGUGUCUGUGCUUGGCAUGGAAGGAGCCUGAGUGGGAGAAUUGAUAUCUCACAUCAAGAGAGAUUUCCUGAAAGCUGUGAAGAUGCCAUCUGCAGUCCUCCAGCACCUUGACCACUUUGAAGGCGGCAUCUUCUGCUCUUGGAAAUACUGCAUCAGCUGCCCAAUUAACUGGAGGGAACAAUUAGCCACUAACUUCAUUGUUCUGAGAGAGUUCCUAUGGGAUGUGUUCCUUGGCCAAAGCCACAUCACAAGGGGAACAGCUGCUGACUUUUUGGGCAGGGGUCGGGGGGCGAUGAGGUGGGUGUACUCACCAUCAAAGGCUGCC